CUGCCAUUGGCAUGCGACCACUUCCCAGCCCUGUGACCAUUGCAAGUUUUGACCGCACCCAGUGGGAGGGCUCUUAAAUUCAGCAACCAGCCUUCUGGCAGGGACUACUUCGUGAGUUCAUGGGCAUGUGCAGUGAGAUAUAGUGAGGUCUACUAGGGGUAGAGAAGCCUAGCUCAUAUUGGACACCUGGGAACACAGUGCCUAUGCAGGUGCCCUGGCUUGUCCCUUGGAGUCCAUGGACCUCUAAAUUGCAUGUGACCAGGCAGAGAUUGCCCACGGAUGACCUCCUAUAUUCUGGCUUGCUGCAUAGAUAAUUUCAUUGUCUUGCGUUUCCGCUUUUCUGAUCUUUAAAAAGCAGGUAACUUGAUAAAUUUAGAGGAUUUGGUUAAAGUUGUGAGUAUACUCAGGUAAACACUGAGUAUGGUGCUUCUAGUUUUUGAAGAAAAUUCUAGUCUUUGAAGAAAAUUAUCCACCAGGGCAUCUGGAUUGGCCUCCUGGGCUUAUUUGCACAAGAAAGAUAUUCCCAUCCAGAGGGAUCUAUUGUGCACCACCUACAACCACAAGCUUGACUCUCCCUGAGGAGGCUAUUCUCCAAAUCAGUCCACUUGUUUCCCCUUUUCAUGUUCUCAAUAUUUGCUGAAGAAUAAAAAUGUACAGUCAUAUAUUUUCUAAAAUUUUCAGUACUGUUGGUGUUUCUUCACACCACCAAAGCGCAGAGUCAGUAUCAAAUUCAAGGACACAACCACUUUCAUCCGCAAUCCUACCCAUCCUUUCCCUCUCAUUGAACGUAAGGAGUUUCCUCUGGAGCUCAGAGCGUUGCUGGGGUUCUCCCUCAUCUACAACCCUGAAAUCACUUAACAACCAGCUUUCUACCUCAGGUGAUCAUCUUUAAUCUUAGGCUCUGCACUUGUGCAUCCCGUCCCUCUUCCUUUUGCAACAGAAUAAUCUGGAGACCAUGUAGGAGGUAUAGGGUAAUAUCAGCACAUUCUGUUUCAGACUCUGUGUAAGUGAUAUGGUGGCAGAAUAAG
Molecule: long non-coding RNA, 1028 nt
Organism: Acinonyx jubatus (cheetah)
Lineage: Eukaryota; Metazoa; Chordata; Mammalia; Carnivora; Felidae
Exons: 5
Source: RefSeq, a predicted model, not a curated record